UGGAGAUGUCUCCUUUCCAAUAUAAAUGGAGGCACUCGGUCAUGCUGUGGGUCUUUGGACCUUAGACGCAAGUCGUCGAGAGUGUGACGUGAGGACGGGUUAAAUGCCCA
The sequence is a regulatory RNA element, 110 nucleotides long. It matches the Rfam family "epsC RNA". The record is from Rfam.